UUUCCUUUGAUUUCAGGACUCAUUUAAUCCAGAGACUCAUCUGACCAGGUGGAUUCUCUCUACAUAAAAACCUACAAUCACAGCUCCACCCACAACUACAAUCCUGCCCACCUCUGCAGCCCCGCCCUCAACAUCAACUACUAUCUUUGACCUGACACCCUCUGAAGCCCUUCCUCCUUCAUCGCCUCCUGUCUCAGCCUCCUCCCAGCUUGUGUUCAGACUUGUCUGCCACCUGGUGGUGUUCUGUCCAUACUGCAUCUCCACUGUCCUCAUGGUUUCUUUAUAUCGGCGCAGGGCCGCAGGAAAUGACCUGCCUGUCUCCAUGGUGAUGACCCUGCCCACCCAGGCUGAGGAGGGAUUGGAGAAUGGAUAUGUCUGCACUGCUGUCACCACAGAGCAUCACUUCUGAGCUGAUCCAGUGUGUUCAGUGUGUUCUGGUUCUUAAUGAAGCUAAAAUGUUUGAGUCAUCAGCAAAUAAACCUCAGAUUUCCGUCAUAGAUCACAAACAGCAGAGGACCCAGAAUACUUCCCUGUGGAACUCCUCAUGUUGUAGUUUGACUAGAUGAUGUUAAAUUCUGGAUGUCAGACUUCAGCCGCAGCAUCAUUCUCGCUUUAAACUCUUCAAAUCUUUUACUGUAAGCCACUGUGUGAGAGCCAACAAGUCCUCCAACCUAAGCGUUAACAUAGGUUGUAUUAACCAUCCUCCAAAAAUGACUCAUAUGAGCGUAUCCUAAUAAAAGCGCCUCCAUUGGUGACAUUUGUCCAUGCCUCCUAAAUCAGCAAUUUCGUAUUUGGAUUCCUGACCAGACCUAUACUUUGUAGCGUUAGCUAACGUCCACGAACACAGAACUUUCUGGCACUUUAUAAUAUGUGACCGUCUUAGUCAUGUGUUUGAUGAUACAGCCACUAGAGAUCGCUGCCACAAAAAAUGUAAAUGUGAGUCCCUAUUUUGUGUAGCUAAAAUUGUUUAUAGUGGUUUUUCUUUGAAGGACAGGCUCAUGAGAGCUGUUUUAAGGAUUAACUCUGUCAGAUUUAUUGAAGCCUGAUCACUCAUAGAAAGACCGACUCAGGUGAACUUGAUUCAUGAUACAAAGCUGUCAAACAUGUUUUUGGUCCAAAUGAAAGCUGAUUUUUCAGGUUCCAGCUUAAGUUGUGUUGUUGAUGUUUGUUUUCACAUGUUUCAGAAGAAACUCUGCAGCUUUUAAAUCUCAAAAGAUGGAAAUGAGCUUUUCUCUCGGUGUUUUGUUCCCAUGUGAUCAUGUGGUUUUGUCUGGGGGUUCAUCAAUUCUCUCAUAUCAAACUGUUUCCUCACAGCAGCUGUAGAGAAAACCACACAGAGACUCUGACAUAUCGUCCAUCCAGAGGCUGCUGGGUGUGUGAGAGUUGAUCACUGCUGCUCCCAGUGUUCCACGGUCGCCUCUGUCUCUACACACCUUUGAAAGAAAUGUUACAGCCACCUGAUUUGUUUCACUGGCAGUGUUUGUUUCUGGGAGAUGUUGCGUUGUUUUACUGCACACUUACAUGAUGCAAACUAGUACAAACUGCGUUAAGGACCAAGUACCGAAUUGUCAUCCACCACAAUACCUCUGUUGGUUUUGAUUUACAUGUAUAUAUGAUUGUUUAUUGCAGUGUGGUGAUAUCUGCAGCCAAAAGUCAACAUAAAAGAUUAGGUUUCCAUAGUUAAGGUUUUUCUGAUCCACCUGGUUUUAUUCAAAAACUGAUUUUGUUUUAGAAAACCACCUAAAUAUCUGUAAUUGGAUUCCACAGGCAUGCGACCUCUGACAUGUACAGCAAUUGUAAAUCGCUUUGGAUAAAAGUGUCAGCUGAGAUGAAUAAAUGUAAAUGUUGAGUUGUAAUCAUUUCUACAAGCCA
This is a long non-coding RNA of Micropterus dolomieu (smallmouth bass), 1872 nucleotides long. RefSeq lists it as uncharacterized. Lineage: Eukaryota; Metazoa; Chordata; Actinopteri; Centrarchiformes; Centrarchidae. The record is from RefSeq and is a predicted model, not a curated record. The transcript is spliced from 2 exons.